Molecule: ribosomal RNA, 249 nt
Filed under: uncultured prokaryote
Description: partial 16S ribosomal RNA
Rfam family: Bacterial small subunit ribosomal RNA
Source: RNAcentral
UACGGAGGAUGCGAGCGUUAUCCGGAUUUAUUGGGUUUAAAGGGUGCGUAGGCGGCUUAGUAAGUCAGCGGUGAAAUUUUGCAGCUUAACUGUAACAGUGCCGUUGAUACUGCAUGGCUAGGAUUUGGUUGCUGUGGGUGGAAUGUGUGGUGUAGCGGUGAAAUGCUUAGAUAUCACACAGAAUAUCAAUUGCGAAGGCAGCUCACAAAGCCAAGAUUGACGCUGAGGCACGAAAGUGUGGGGAUCAAA